UGGCGCCCAACGUUGAGGCUUGAGAACAUGGAGGAUCGGUGAACGUAGCACACCAAAGCAGGCCUGCAUAUCAGUUGGACCACCGUGGAGAACGCUCCAUGAGCGGAGGUCCGGUCAGUGAUCGCCACGGGGACACCCGACCAUGAGACAGAUCCGGGGAGUUGAUUUGUGCCAACCCAAGGUAAGUUUACCAUGGGACAAGCAUUUGGUAAGCAGGAUUUAUUUAUUUCAGGACUUAAAUAGUCUCUCAAGACAUGAGGAACAAGGGUGAAAAAAAAGAUUUUAAAAAGUUUCUUGAUNAUAUUGGGGACCUUUGCCCCU
This is a regulatory RNA element of Neotoma lepida (desert woodrat), 321 nucleotides long. It matches the Rfam family "Mason-Pfizer monkey virus packaging signal". From Rfam's summary of the family: The packaging signal is located in the 5' UTR and is required for specific RNA encapsidation. The record is from Rfam. Lineage: Eukaryota; Metazoa; Chordata; Mammalia; Rodentia; Cricetidae.